This 202-nucleotide non-coding RNA is filed under the name Mesorhizobium sp. The record is from RNAcentral. Lineage: Bacteria; Pseudomonadati; Pseudomonadota; Alphaproteobacteria; Hyphomicrobiales; Phyllobacteriaceae.
CCUAAAUCCGCCGCAGACGGUCUUCUCCCGGCAAAGGGAGGAGCCAAGAGGGAAUGCGGUGCGGGUCAAACCCAAAUCCGCGGCUGUCCCCGCAACUGUAAGCGACGAGCCUUGGCCGAAAACCACUGGGAUGUUCCCGGGAAGGCGGCAUCUGAGGCCACGACCCGCGAGCCAGGAGACCUGCCGUCUGAGACUUUAAGUA